RNAcentral lists this transfer RNA (36 nucleotides) under Tadorna tadorna (common shelduck). RNAcentral's name for it is "partial tRNA-Phe". The record is from RNAcentral. Lineage: Eukaryota; Metazoa; Chordata; Aves; Anseriformes; Anatidae.
GCUGCCAAGACGGCACCACGAACAUGCCUGCGGACA